CUGAGGAGGAGUGAAGAGCAAUACCAAAGGAGGUUUUGGUGCAAUACGGGAUGAGUAAAAAAAAUAAGAAUGAAAAAGGAGAAAUGGAGGAGGAGAGUAGUCUGCAGCGAUUAGCAGUGGUGGAAAAAAGAAAGAGGAGCGAAAGGGUGGUGCUAAGGUUGUUAAAAGGUGUAACGAUGGUGGUAUUAUGGUCGGUUGUGGUGGAGGAAAAGCAAAGACUAAAAGAAAAGAGUGGUGGUUAUUUUGCGAAAGGAGAGAGAAUGGAUGAGAAAAUAAAUGAAAAGAGUGAAAGAAUGAAAGCAAUAGAGAGGUAGGGAUGACAAAGGGUUGUAAAAGCUUGGUCAACUGUGACUAGGUUCAAUGAACCACAACAAAAGUCAAGAUAUGAAGUUUUG
Molecule: long non-coding RNA, 395 nt
Filed under: Gossypium raimondii (Peruvian cotton)
Lineage: Eukaryota; Viridiplantae; Streptophyta; Magnoliopsida; Malvales; Malvaceae
Description: long non-coding RNA (GRAI_LNC010455)
Source: RNAcentral